Vombatus ursinus (common wombat) is the source of this 1362-nucleotide long non-coding RNA. RefSeq lists it as uncharacterized. NCBI's taxonomy places the organism in Eukaryota, Metazoa, Chordata, Mammalia, Diprotodontia, Vombatidae. The record is from RefSeq and is a predicted model, not a curated record. The transcript has 5 exons.
UUCCCAACGCAGCCCUUCUCUUGCGUCCCCAAGCCACCCCCAUCCAAAGCAGAAUGUGAACUCCUUGAGGCAAGGGACAGGUUUUUGCUAGUUUCCUGACCCUUUGAACAGCACCUGGACUAUUCGCUACUUCAAGGGAAUGGAAUUAAAUGACAGGAAGCCAAGGUUUCAUUAAACUGCCAAAGGGGGCCCAGGACACAUGAAACCCUAACUUUCAGUCAGCCUGGCAAGAGUGGACAGCAUUUUGGACUUGGGGUCAGCAGGACCUGGGUUCGAGUUCCAUGUAGUAGCUGUGUAUUCCUAGGCUGGCCUCAAACCGUGGAAGGAGGCCUUGGACAUCCAGAACAGGGGAGCCAUCAGAGAAGGAAGACAAAGCCGUCUUGUUCCCCAACCUCUCCCUCCACAAGAGAAUGGGUCUCUCAGACACUGCUUCCCAUCUGGUUUGGCUUCCCGAGUCCAGGCCCCGCCAAAAGGUCACCUUCUUGGGCCACAGCUCCUUGAGGGAGGUGAUGGAGGGGCUGGGACGUGGCCCUGCUGAUGGCCCAGCUGACACUGAUCUUUCCCGUUUCGUAAUCCCAAAGUGCAGUCCGUCUACACCCCAUUCUGAUGCCAAUCAUUCCCUACCACGUAUACUUAUCAGGCCUGUGAGGUGAGGAGUGCAAGGACACUAUUCCCAUUCUACAGAUGAGGAAACAGGCUCGAAGGCGCUCAAGAGACUUCCCCAACGCCGGCCGCUUCAAUGGGGAAACUGAGGCCCAGAGAGAGGAAGGGACUUGCCCAAGGUCUCGUAAAGCCUAAGGAAGAAAAGGCCAACCACCAUGACAGCCCCAAUGCGUGACAGAUGAGGCUUUCCCUCCUUGGGGACUUCCCAGGCUUAUCACCAGCCGGGUAAGUGCCGGGAGCCAGGAGCUUCAGGUCGGCUGGGGUGGAAAGCACGUUCUCUGAGCCUGAAGUGUUGUUAAUUUCAAGCUCCGUUAGCAGUGUCAGCAGGAAGCCCGGCGGGAGCCCCAAAGACGACAUUUGAGUCUCCCGCAGACGCUCAUCUCCACCCGCGAUACAGGAGAGUCGGGGCAUCAGAAACCAUGGCGGAGCACAAAAGCCAACAGCAUCCAACUGCCCAUUGAUGAGGCGCCCACGGGCUGAGUCAUCCAGCCAGCAGUGGAUCCACAGCCCAAAGGGACCCGGCACAACCUCGCCAUUUGAACAGAUGGAGAUACUGAGGCUCAGAUCAGAGAAACGAGUUACCCAAGGUCAGAGCUGGGAACUGAAUCCAGGUCGCUCGACGCCAGACUCAUAGAUUUAGAGCUGAAAGGGACCUUGGAGGCCACUGGGUUCCAAACCCCUCAUUUUGCAGAUGAGGAA